This 1516-nucleotide ribosomal RNA is filed under the name Vibrio parahaemolyticus. Its description in RNAcentral is "bacterial SSU rRNA". It matches the Rfam family "Bacterial small subunit ribosomal RNA". Lineage: Bacteria; Pseudomonadati; Pseudomonadota; Gammaproteobacteria; Vibrionales; Vibrionaceae. The record is from RNAcentral.
AGAGUUUGAUCCUGGCUCAGAUUGAACGCUGGCGGCAGGCCUAACACAUGCAAGUCGAGCGGAAACGAGUUAUCUGAACCUUCGGGGAACGAUAACGGCGUCGAGCGGCGGACGGGUGAGUAAUGCCUAGGAAAUUGCCCUGAUGUGGGGGAUAACCAUUGGAAACGAUGGCUAAUACCGCAUGAUGCCUACGGGCCAAAGAGGGGGACCUUCGGGCCUCUCGCGUCAGGAUAUGCCUAGGUGGGAUUAGCUAGUUGGUGAGGUAAGGGCUCACCAAGGCGACGAUCCCUAGCUGGUCUGAGAGGAUGAUCAGCCACACUGGAACUGAGACACGGUCCAGACUCCUACGGGAGGCAGCAGUGGGGAAUAUUGCACAAUGGGCGCAAGCCUGAUGCAGCCAUGCCGCGUGUGUGAAGAAGGCCUUCGGGUUGUAAAGCACUUUCAGUCGUGAGGAAGGUAGUGUAGUUAAUAGCUGCAUUAUUUGACGUUAGCGACAGAAGAAGCACCGGCUAACUCCGUGCCAGCAGCCGCGGUAAUACGGAGGGUGCGAGCGUUAAUCGGAAUUACUGGGCGUAAAGCGCAUGCAGGUGGUUUGUUAAGUCAGAUGUGAAAGCCCGGGGCUCAACCUCGGAAUAGCAUUUGAAACUGGCAGACUAGAGUACUGUAGAGGGGGGUAGAAUUUCAGGUGUAGCGGUGAAAUGCGUAGAGAUCUGAAGGAAUACCGGUGGCGAAGGCGGCCCCCUGGACAGAUACUGACACUCAGAUGCGAAAGCGUGGGGAGCAAACAGGAUUAGAUACCCUGGUAGUCCACGCCGUAAACGAUGUCUACUUGGAGGUUGUGGCCUUGAGCCGUGGCUUUCGGAGCUAACGCGUUAAGUAGACCGCCUGGGGAGUACGGUCGCAAGAUUAAAACUCAAAUGAAUUGACGGGGGCCCGCACAAGCGGUGGAGCAUGUGGUUUAAUUCGAUGCAACGCGAAGAACCUUACCUACUCUUGACAUCCAGAGAACUUUCCAGAGAUGGAUUGGUGCCUUCGGGAACUCUGAGACAGGUGCUGCAUGGCUGUCGUCAGCUCGUGUUGUGAAAUGUUGGGUUAAGUCCCGCAACGAGCGCAACCCUUAUCCUUGUUUGCCAGCGAGUAAUGUCGGGAACUCCAGGGAGACUGCCGGUGAUAAACCGGAGGAAGGUGGGGACGACGUCAAGUCAUCAUGGCCCUUACGAGUAGGGCUACACACGUGCUACAAUGGCGCAUACAGAGGGCGGCCAACUUGCGAAAGUGAGCGAAUCCCAAAAAGUGCGUCGUAGUCCGGAUUGGAGUCUGCAACUCGACUCCAUGAAGUCGGAAUCGCUAGUAAUCGUGGAUCAGAAUGCCACGGUGAAUACGUUCCCGGGCCUUGUACACACCGCCCGUCACACCAUGGGAGUGGGCUGCAAAAGAAGUAGGUAGUUUAACCUUCGGGGGGACGCUUACCACUUUGUGGUUCAUGACUGGGGUGAAGUCGUAACAAGGUAGCCGU